RNAcentral lists this ribosomal RNA (577 nucleotides) under uncultured bacterium. Its description in RNAcentral is "bacterial SSU rRNA". It matches the Rfam family "Bacterial small subunit ribosomal RNA", at positions 338 to 916 of the family's 1533-position model. The record is from RNAcentral.
CCUACGGGAGGCAGCAGUGAGGAAUAUUGGACAAUGGGCGCAAGCCUGAUCCAGCCAUGCCGCGUGCAGGAAGACGGUCCUAUGGAUUGUAAACUGCUUUUGUACAGGAAGAAACACUCCCUCGUGAGGGAGCUUGACGGUACUGUAAGAAUAAGGAUCGGCUAACUCCGUGCCAGCAGCCGCGGUAAUACGGAGGAUCCAAGCGUUAUCCGGAAUCAUUGGGUUUAAAGGGUCCGUAGGCGGUUUAAUAAGUCAGUGGUGAAAUCUGGUCGCUCAACGAUCAAACGGCCAUUGAUACUGUUAGACUUGAAUUAUUAGGAAGUAACUAGAAUAUGUAGUGUAGCGGUGAAAUGCUUAGAUAUUACAUGGAAUACCAAUUGCGAAGGCAGGUUACUACUAAUGGAUUGACGCUGAUGGACGAAAGCGUGGGGAGCGAACAGGAUUAGAUACCCUGGUAGUCCACGCCGUAAACGAUGGAUACUAGCUGUUCGGAGCAAUCUGAGUGGCUAAGCGAAAGUGAUAAGUAUCCCACCUGGGGAGUACGUUCGCAAGAAUGAAACUUAAAUGAAAUUGACGG